AGACUCGGGAGUCCGCGGCGGAGUGAAAAGCAGCGGAGGUUGCGCUGCGAAGGAAGGGCCCACGCCCUGGACCCGGCUGGCGGGAAAGUGGAUAGCCUUCCCGGAGGAACUGUUGGAGCUGCUGAGAAAACCUGCGUAGGGGCACCGUGGUAUAAAUCUCUCGAUUGUUGACACGGAAGAGAAAAAAGAGAAGUGAAUUUGGACUGACACAACUAAGAUGGCCGGUGGAAUAUUUCGCCAGUUCGGUGACUCACGGUGGGUGGAGGAGGAAGGGUUAAAAACUUUGUUGUGUGUAGAUGAACUUCAAAACCGAAUGUAUUCCGGUAUCUGAGAGCCUCAUUUUGUGUCUGACCUGUAUUUCUUACCUAGAGAAGCAGGCGACAAUUCGAUGAAUGUUAAGCGUACAUAGGUUAUAAUCCUUGCUCAUGGGCCUUCAAGAUGAUCGCUCAAAUGUAAAGUAAAACUGUGAACUUUUAGAAUAAAAACAGGGAGAGGCUGGGGGUGUAGGGGUCAGUUGGUAGAGUGUACAAAGACAUGGAUUUGAUACCCUUCAUCUCAUAACCCGGCAUAUGCCUGUGAUCCUAGCUUUCAGGAGGUGAAAGCAGGAAGGUUGAAGCCAACCUAAGACUGUUUCG
This 635-nucleotide long non-coding RNA is filed under the name Mus musculus (house mouse). RNAcentral describes it as "long non-coding RNA chr8:111259299-111259934". The record is from RNAcentral. Lineage: Eukaryota; Metazoa; Chordata; Mammalia; Rodentia; Muridae.